This 3097-nucleotide long non-coding RNA is filed under the name Setaria viridis. RNAcentral's name for it is "long non-coding RNA (SVIR_LNC003889)". The record is from RNAcentral. Lineage: Eukaryota; Viridiplantae; Streptophyta; Magnoliopsida; Poales; Poaceae.
GGGCGGCUCAGUGGCUACUGAGUCUAGCCAACCGAUUGUUAAGAAACGUCUCCCGAAGAAAAUCAGGCAAGUCCCUGACUGUUAUUUUCUGCCUCGGCGGUCCUGGCCUUCUGCACUGGCCAUCUAUGGUGCUGUGUGUGCUGCUGGGGUUGGUGCAGGGAUGCUGCUUGAAGUGUGGAUAAACAAAAAGAUCAAAGGUAUAUUCCUGGAUUUCAUAGCAGGAGCAAUUGAUUUUCUUGCGAAUUUUGUGUGUGCCACUGAUAGCAUGGAUUGCUCACAUUCAUACUCUUGUUUGUUGCUGCAUUCAGAGGAUGGUGGCAUUAUCUGGGAGAUGGAUAAAUGAUAUGGAGCACACUUUGAUGCAGUAAAACCUCCCUUGCCAUUAUGGAGAUUGCUAACUCGAAAAGUUUCUGAUGCAAAUUAACACAGCCUUGUUUCUGUAUCUGGAUUUAUCUGCAUAAUAGCAGUAUGAGGUGCUCCAAACUUCCAAGCUUCAUUAAACAAGGAAACUGAAAGUGUCAGAACCACAAUUCAUAUAGAUUGGAUUUUUGUGAGACAUUGUAACUAAUGUAUUGGUAAGCAUUACUUUGAAUGUCUUUGUGGUUUUUCCAGCUGUUGAGUUGCAUCUUGUAGUUGGGUUUGGCAAUCAAUGUAUCUGGCAUCAUGUGCUAUGUUGAUAAAUUAUGAGAAUUUAUUCAUUUUGUGCAUCAAACUACUACCAUGCCUGUUCUUGGAGAGAGAAAAAAAAGUGUACAGUAUCAAACUACUAUGCAUUUGCCUUAGUACAUAGGCAAAAAGCCAGGAGAUGCUUGGGCAUUUUCUUUUGUCAUAUUCUCAGAGAUUGGAUCAAUCAAUCCAUGUUGAGAUAAACAUCAACUGUAGGACCAAAAGUGUAGGCAACCUUUAUGUACCUUCAUGGAGAAAUAAAUAAACUGCCAUCCUUUUCCUUUGAUAUCUACUGGUAGUAAAAUGCAUAAGUUAUGACUUACAACAAUGAUAUUCCUAUCUUUUUGCUUGAUUUUGACCUUAUGUAAUCUUAAAACUUUUUUGCCAUCCUUGCUAAUUCAUAAUUGCAGCAAUUUAAGUAUUCAGCUUCCUGUUUUUCUCAUAGAAUGUUUGCACUGAAAUCAUUCAUGUUCUUUUAGAAAGUGUUAUGGUUCCUGUCUUCAUGUUCUUUGUGUACUACACUUUCCUUCCCCGAAAGUGCUGAUUUCUUCUCUUAUCUGUGCCCUCUUUCUUGUGCCAAUACGCUUUCUCCUAAGCAUAGCCUUCGCAUCAGCGCUGUAAGCAGCAUUCAAUAGAAACAUGGACAUCCCCGGAUGGAAUUUCUCUCCAAUACAUUAUGGUAUGAACGACAGGACAUUAAUCUCCUCUAUCAUCUCCAUCCAUGCCUGCUGGGGAGUCCGGGUACAGGGCGGAUUAAACUAAUCCAGGGGCCAUUAAUGUUGCAACCAGAUUUGAUUAGUGCAGUUAAUGCGGGGAUUGACUGACCUAAAACUGCUACUGCUCCUUCUCCAACUGAUCCGUCCAUUCCCCUCGGAUCUUCAGCUCUGCAAGAGGAAUGUGUCAGCAGUUAAUGCUCCCUGCUGACUUCGCGCCACCCCCGUGCAUGCUUCUUUUUCUAGACAAGGGAGGAGAGAAUAAAACUGUGCGAUCGUGCGCUCUUAUUAGCCCCUUGUCAACGGAUUAUCUGAUAUUCAAUAAUCGUACAUGCUAAGUAGGUUUAUCCCCUCAACUAAUUCAUCUCCAUCAUGCUACCUUUAUGUUCUUUUUACUACAUCUUAGUUUUGUGUAUACUUUUGCUAUUAUGGUCUUUUAUGAUCUGCAGUGGAGAGGCGGGUUGAGUAGUCUCUUGCAUAAAAGGGCAGCUUGGGUAACAGAACAUAGGUGAAUCAACAACUAAAAAUUCCGGUGAGUUAAAAGAUUGGCUCACGUUUUGGAGAAGUGUGUAGGAAUUGACAAAUUGUGCCAUUCAAUGUAUAGGGAUCAGUGGUAAGAGAUAAAUUAGUUAAUAUGCAUUGUAGUGACUAUCUCUACUGUCUAUACAAAUAUCUAGCUUGUGCUGAUGAUGUCAUCUUGGUUGUUAGAUGUGUAGAAACUAAUACUAUAAAGUAAUAAUCUUAUACCUGUGAGAACCUGUAGACAAAGCUGGUACUGAUCUCAUUUUUUUUUUCAACACUUAUGAUCUUGAUCUUUAUUUUAACCUUCUACAAGUUGCAGGGUCUUCUCAAUCAGCUAGACCUUUCCUUCACUUUACUGAAGGAUCUGAGAGCAUUUUGCUGUGCAAACUGCAAAGGCUCAUAGGAUCCUCCUUAUUAUAGCAAGCUGACAGUAAAUAAUCUUAUCACUUUACCAGAUUGAACCCGCACUUGUGCUAAUUAUUUUAGUUGAAAGAACAUCAGACAUGACUCGUAGUGGGGGCGUCAGAAUAAUCCCGGUGCUUAAUGACUCUGUUCUUCCUGGGUAUUUUCUUAGUCUGAUCCUCUCUCUGAAUACUUUUGCCCUACUGAUAACUGCAUUUAGCUGUCAGUCGAUCUGUCAUCGGAUGCCAUUUUGUCAUUUGGGGUUUACUCUCGCACGCGCGCACGGAGCUGAGCAUAACUUCUUGCCUUCUCCAGACUCCAAUGCGUAUGUUGUUGCACGUGUGCAGUCGUGAACUGCAGCCUGAACUGGGAGAGUGUGAAGCUGUUCAAGAACAAUCACCGUUUCAGCUUUGGCCUUAAACGUGAGCAUAGAGGUCAUGCGGAACAUUCACCGUUUCCGGAGACGCCUUCCAAAACGGCCCCGCAAUACCUGAUUUUUGUAAAGGCCCACUUUGAAAUGCCAUUUUUUGCCCGAAUUUUGGAGGGAAUUUAGCCAAUUCGUGCAAAGUUUUUUGUGAAAUUUCUGUGUUCCAAAGGGACGUAAGCUAUUUAAAAAAAAUAGCAGGGAUUAUCAAGUUGGUUGCGGAGAGAACGAAGGUGUGCCAAGAUUGCCCCACACAACCAACUCGCUCGAUCUUGCUUCCGAUAUUUGAAUAUUGUCUUGGACUCACACAAGUUAUACUUCAUGGCUGCAUGUCAGUUAAGUUAUGCUUCUCCUAAUAACAAAAAAAAAA